CAGCAGCCGCGGUAAUACGUAGGUGGCAAGCGUUGUCCGGAAUUAUUGGGCGUAAAGCGCGCGCAGGCGGUCUCUUAAGUCUGAUGUGAAAGCCCCCGGCUCAACCGGGGAGGGUCAUUGGAAACUGGGAGACUUGAGUGCAGAAGAGAAGAGUGGAAUUCCACGUGUAGCGGUGAAAUGCGUAGAGAUGUGGAGGAACACCAGUGGCGAAGGCGACUCUUUGGUCUGUAACUGACGCUGAGGCGCGAAAGCGUGGGGAGCAAACAGGAUUAGAUACCCUGGUAGUCCACGCCGUAAACGAUGAGUGCUAAGUGUUAGAGGGUUUCCGCCCUUUAGUGCUGCAGCUAACGCAUUAAGCACUCCGCCUGGGGAGUACGGCCGCAAGGCUGAAACUUAAAGGAAUUGGCGGG
This 410-nucleotide ribosomal RNA is filed under the name uncultured microorganism. RNAcentral describes it as "bacterial SSU rRNA". It matches the Rfam family "Bacterial small subunit ribosomal RNA", at positions 509 to 917 of the family's 1533-position model. The record is from RNAcentral.